RNAcentral lists this ribosomal RNA (497 nucleotides) under uncultured bacterium. RNAcentral describes it as "partial 16S ribosomal RNA". It matches the Rfam family "Bacterial small subunit ribosomal RNA", at positions 28 to 507 of the family's 1533-position model. The record is from RNAcentral.
GAUGAACGCUGGCGGCGUGCCUAAUACAUGCAAGUCGAGCGAACAGACGAGGAGCUUGCUCCUCUGACGUUAGCGGCGGACGGGUGAGUAACACGUGGAUAACCUACCUAUAAGACUGGGAUAACUUCGGGAAACCGGAGCUAAUACCGGAUAAUAUAUUGAACCGCAUGGUUCAAUAGUGAAACACGGUUUUUCUGUCACUUAUAGAUGGAUCCGCGCCGCAUUAGCUAGUUGGUAAGGUAACGGCUUACCAAGGCAACGAUGCGUAGCCGACCUGAGAGGGUGAUCGGCCACACUGGAACUGAGACACGGUCCAGACUCCUACGGGAGGCAGCAGUAGGGAAUCUUCCGCAAUGGGCGAAAGCCUGACGGAGCAACGCCGCGUGAGUGAUGAAGGUCUUCGGAUCGUAAAACUCUGUUAUUAGGGAAGAACAAAUGUGUAAGUAACUAUGCACGUCUUGACGGUACCUAAUCAGAAAGCCACGGCUAACUACGUG